This 3509-nucleotide long non-coding RNA is filed under the name Carica papaya (papaya). Its description in RNAcentral is "long non-coding RNA (CPAP_LNC011041)". Lineage: Eukaryota; Viridiplantae; Streptophyta; Magnoliopsida; Brassicales; Caricaceae. The record is from RNAcentral.
UAAUUCGACCUCUUCUCUCUUCGUUCUACCAGAAAAUUAAAGAGAGGAAAUCAGUGAGCCUUAAGAAGCUUUUAAGAUUGUAGUUAGGUGAAGAGGGAGUGCAGUGUAGAAUUUGGAAGCGUGAGGGAGUUUGGUGUAUGUUGAGUGCAAGAAUUCGACUCUUCAUUUGAAGUAAGCUUAUUCUCUUCUUAACUCACAUUCUUUCACACAUUCCUUGCAUCUAAUCACAGUUCUUAAUGACUUUAGGAUCCAGGAUUUGCACAGAAGGCUUCAAAUCGAAGCCAAAUCUCUAUAAAUUUCCAGAAGCUACUGAUUGUCAGGUACUCUGCUGUUUCUCUUCUAUUCUCUCAUAUGUUUUGAUUACUUCCCUAAGAUUAUUGUAAGUAAAUGAUAGGAUAAGGUCUUGGAACCUUAACAGAACCUAGCUAAUUAAAAUAACUCAUUGGAAAUCAGAAAUUAAUUCAAACGUAUCCACUCUAUUUCUGUGACUGCACCCAGACGUUGCAGAACACUUUGCCAACUAUAAACAUGACAUUCUUCCGUGCGUUUAGGUUCAAAUUGUAUCCUUACUGAGGUAAGAUAAAUGGUAAGCUAGUUUAUGCAAGUAGGGUUUUUUUAUACAUGCAUUUUAGAGGUAAUUCUUCCUUGAAAGUCAAGGAUGUGUGAUCUUUUAAAUUAUCUUACAGCGUGCAUGUCAUUAUGUUUUUUUUUUAAGUUUAAAUAUUUUGAUUUCUUGAAUGUUUUAAAGAAUAUUGAUGUUUUUUUAAUUAGGAAAAAAUUAACAGAAGGAAAACAAAUCAAUUUAAAAUGGAAAUCCUACGGGAACCAUCAACAGAGGCCAAAAUUGCCGCUGCUGGCUGUGUUAGGCACCAAAGUGCCGAGACUGGUGACACAUGCGGCCCUACUGCACAGGUACACGCAAGGGGUCUCUUUUUGGCAGCCGAAACUGCCAAAAAAUAUCCCUGGCAUGUUGCACACGCGUAGUAUGCUACGUAAAGGGGCGUGUGACUCGGUUAGGCUUAUGCAGAUGUCGAGCAGGGUUGUGUGGGCGCGAACAUGGCUUACCAUGCAUGUUGUGUGCAUAUGUGCCCUGGGCUGUGCGCGGGUGUGUCAUUGCACUCAAGCACAUGCCCACAGGCUAACUUCUCAGUGUAGCAAAGCCAAGUGAGUUAUGCUGGCCUGCCAGGCAUGACACCCCGAGAGGCCUUCACGGAUUGCCACCAAGCCUCUAACAAGGUUCAGGGAGAAAUUCCCUUGGGCAGGAAAUGCAGGGGUAAAAUUUGUAGAUUCAAAAAGGUAAAAUUAAAUUAAAAUAAGAAAUUAAGGGUUAAAAUAGGAGUAACAUGAAUUAUAGAUGAAAAAGGAAUAAAAUAAGAAAUGGAAGAAUGACAAGGAAAAAAGGGUUGAGUAAAACUAAAAACUAGAAUUUAAAAAGUAAAAAAAAAAAAGAAAAAAAAAACCUAAAAGUACAAAUAAUAAUUAAAUCUAAAAUGUGUAUCUUAAAUCAAUAAAUAAAAUUUAAACGAUUAACAUUUAGACUUAAUAGGUUAGAAAAGUUUUACUAAAAAUUUUAAAGAUAAUUAAAAAUAAUUAAGAUAAAAAGAGUAAAAAACUUAAUUAACAUAGUGUCUAAUUAAAUUCGGUGCAUUGUAUUUUCUUAGAGGGAUACAUGGGUUUGUGUUAUGAACCACUAGCUAUGGGUGUAACUGUGGUUUCAAGUUGAAAUCCACGGUUCAGUUAUCCUUGGACUCUGAACNNNAAUUUAGAAAAAAUCGAAAAACGACAAAACGAAAAAAAAACUGCUCGCAGGAAAAAUCCCGUGAGAGGACAGUUUGCCUGUGCAGGUGCUGGGAACUGUACGUGUGCACAUGCGUGCAUAGUGGCCGGGAGGCAUGCACACAGUGCGCACAUUCCAUUCACACGCUAGCACGCACGGGACAUGCGCACAAUGCGCAUGGCGCAUGGUCAGCACCAGCGCAUGCGUCUUGUCGCGCGUAGAUGGGCCAUCCGUGCGUCACCUCGCGCAUGGACUAGCAUCGCACAUUGUGUGCGCGCCGUUCUCACAGUAGGCCUGCAUGAAUAGGCCCUGUGCGCCAGGGGCUUGCGCGCAGUAAGCAUGCGCGUGCGCAUGCUAGCCCUUGCACGCGCGACAGUAGGCCUGUGUGCCUGCAGCGCACCGGUCGGAGCACUACCACCUCGGGCAGUGCACUACCGUUGCCUUAGGCGGUGCGUCGCGACCGCCGAUGGAGGAAGCCCUCCUCCCUCAUUUUUCGUGUCAAGAAUCUUUUUUUCCCUCUUUUCACCGAAUUUUUUCACUUGGUGCGAAUCCAACGGUUCUGAAAUUUUAUAAAUUGCCAUUUCUCUUCCCUUCCUCUCCAUACUUCUAUUUUUUUAAAGGUUUGGAGAGAGAGAGAUAGUAAAUUUGUGAGAGAAGAAGAGAAAGAGAGGAAAACGGUUAAGAAAAAAACAUCAAAGUUUCAAUAAAGAAUUUAGUAUUACUUUCGAUAUCUUAAAGAGUAUUUUUAGAUAAACAAAUUUAAUGUGAUUGUUAUUUUGCCUAUUUUUCAUGCCUCUGUAUUAAAAUGAGUCGAAUUAUUAUGAUUUUCAAACAUGUUAUGUGGAUUACAGACACUUGAUGAAUUUACAUAUAAUAAAUAUAAUUUAUAAUCGGUAAAAGUAAAAAGCAUAAAAAAAUAGAAAAAAAAAAGUAUAGUGAAGCCUGUAUGGUCUAAAAUGUAUAUGUAUUGACAUGUAUAUUACAUCAAGUGUCUCGUUAGGUUUUUUUAUCUCUGAGGGAUAUCUGUUCCCCUUGUCCUUUGGGAUAUCUAUUUUUCUCUCCCCUAUCUAGUUCAGAAAUAUGUAAGAGAAUUGCUCCCAGUAGAUGACGGUGUGCCCUCUAGCGAGAGUGGUCUCGCACUAUCUAUAGGGGUCACUUGUGGCUAAGUAAUGUCGUGACUAUAAAUAUCUGUUAGGGCCACUAUAGUUGGCACGGUCGUAGUCAUAGAUCGUAACCUAGUUUGGCCAGCCAGAAGUGGGCCUAAGCAAAUUAUCAUAUCUGUAUAUGAUCUAAUCAUUUCACUUGGGUAGUUAGAAAUUUAUAUCUGUCAUUAGAGAUAGAAGUUUGUAACGACUUUGCUAAAUAUGACACAAAAAAUCUGUGCAUAUCAUGAUUUAUUUGAUUUUCUCUAUUAUUUGGUAUGAUGUAUAUUUGAUUUUCUGUGCUAACGUACCAUUUUUAUAUUCAAAUAAAUAGUUUUCAUAAUAGUGAGUUAGUUAAAUAAGGAAGCUAAACGGUAAGAUAAAAUAAUAAACUUUUGAAAUCUUAUGAUGUUAAUUUAAUACUGUUUUUCUUACUGAGCAUAUGGAACUCACUCUUUUCAUGCUCUCCACCAAGAUGAGGAAGAAAAUAAGGAACCGCAGGCAGACCUACCCUUGAAAGUGUAUGAGGAUUCCGUAGAUCCACAAGUCUAAGGACAUGACUGUUCUCGCACUUUGAUGAAUCUAGUAGC